CACAGUGAUGAUACAGCACUGGCAAACAGGCGCACAGGGGCCUCAGUGCAGCCCCACCCCUCCAAUCUAUGAAGGACUUGCCUGGUCACCGUGAGCUGCUGAGAACCUCUGUAUCAGAGAAGGCUUCUGGGUAGAGGGAUUAGCUGGGGUCAGACACCCACAAAGGCCUGGGCCCACAAUAGCCAGAGGGAGGCUGGAACAGGACGGGACAAAGGCACACUGAAGUGCUUGGUCAAAGCUGACAGGGCAGCUGAGUCAUCACUGAUGAUGCUCAAAUUGAUCAUUUGCAAAGAUUGUCACAUUGUUUUUUUGAGUUUUGAGUAAAUGUUAACAGGUUUUAUUAUUUUCUUCAUGACAGUUACUUCGGGACCAUGUGUAACAGAGGACAUUUAUAUAUGUUUUAAACAUGUCAGUUUUCCUGUUGCAAUGACAUUCAUUAUUUUUCUUUCAUGGAAUUUAGUUUAGUAACUUUUUCUGCGAGACAUCAGACUCAUUUAGAAUCAGAAUCAGAAGCCAUUCACCGCCACACCGUGAUGGAGACGGCUGAGCUCAUUUGUUCAGACAGGUCUCUUCCAACUAAAUGAAUUGAUUGUAAAUGGCGUAGACUUACUACAAAACUCAAUUCACUACAAGUAAAAUUGAUCACCUGCUAUGAAUAGCAUAUUUGUGAAGGCAAACUGGUCCCAGAAUGACAGUCGCUUAAAAAUAGACCAUGUUAAAAAUGUACUUGUAACAAAUCAAGCAACAACAAUUUCCAAUAGACUACGGGAUUGGCUAAAUGUUUCAAAAUUUGAAGUGCUACUUCUACAUGAAAGAAAAAAAAUAGCCAGCGCAAAACAAUACUUGUGCUUGAAGAUUGAGAUUAUGUUUGAAUGAUACAAUUUUAGAAAAAGGUCUGAUGACGAUACCUCCUCCAUCGCUCCAUCAUUACUCUGCAGCAGAGCGGCAUGCAUGUCUUGUGCGUGCAUCUUUCAGCAGUGAUCAACAAAUCAUGUGUUUCGCCGUCACCCUCUAUCAGGUUUCGUUGAGUUUCAUAGAGAGGCGUGCGGUGUGACUCAUCCAUAUUCAUUGUGCAACAGCAGAACUAUAAUUCAACAUUUCAUAAUAAGCAUCUGAUUUAUAGCAAUUUAUCUGAAACCGUCCUCACCCAGAUUAAAUAGAUUCCAAUCAUUUGUCAAUACAUUUAAGUGUGUCCUG
Long non-coding RNA from Gasterosteus aculeatus aculeatus (three-spined stickleback), 1197 nucleotides. The record is from Ensembl. Lineage: Eukaryota; Metazoa; Chordata; Actinopteri; Perciformes; Gasterosteidae.